RNAcentral lists this unclassified non-coding RNA (3267 nucleotides) under Mizuhopecten yessoensis (Yesso scallop). RNAcentral describes it as "uncharacterized LOC110451248, transcript variant X1". The record is from RNAcentral. Lineage: Eukaryota; Metazoa; Mollusca; Bivalvia; Pectinida; Pectinidae.
CACAUAUAGAUAGCAGGACUAUAGUCCAGCCUGUCUAGAUGAGGAAGACACGAUUAUCCGGUAUUGGGCAAUGACGAACUAUUAAUCACAGUUUUCAACUACACUAACAGUACCGAGAUGGCGACCCCUUCAGCACCGGAAAUAGUUUCCUGCCCUUCCCAUCCAGGAGAAGAAAUCGUUUUCAUCUGUUCCGGUUGUGGUGAUAUGUUUGCGUGCAGUCUGUGUGUAACUAGUGUCCACCGAGGACAUAUACUUAACGGCGUUCAAGAAACGGCAAAGUCAUUAAAGGAACAGAUAUCCGAGCUUGUAAGCACUCGUUCAGCGGAUGCAGAAUCGGUUGCUAAGAGAUUAGACGACAUCAACGUAGAUUACGAUCAGACGACGGACAAUCUGAGAAACUUAAUAGUCGAGGUAAAACUACGAAGGGAAAUGGUCAAGGUCAUGGUCGACGAGGUUGCAGAAAAGGUACUACAACGCAUACAGGACCUCUUAGACGACAACGAGGCUAACGUGACUGACUACAGAACAACGCUACACGAUCUUGAGAAACAGUUACAUUACCUAACGAAAGACAAAAAUGAGUCUGUUCUUCUCUACGGUGAUGCAACUGAUAUCAUCAACUACUACAAAGAGUUGGCACUUCCACCAAAUUUUCCUAGAUUUCUUCCCUUUAGACGGGCAAAAUUCACUUCUACCGACCUUGCAAUGGACGAUCUUAGACCAAAGUUCGGAUCCUUUGCAGAGAAUAAAAUUGAAAGAAGAGAAAGCGCACACGACCCUCCUCCAAGACCACCAAGGACCAAACCAGAAAUAGAAUCAUCGGUUCCAUUGGUUGUUCCACGAGUAGAAUUAAAUCAGCUAAGAAAAGUUCAAUCGGAACGACGUGCCCCAAAGAAAUCUGCAAAGAACAAUAACUCUGAACAACAGUCGCUAGGGGUCACAACAUCGAAGCGUCAUUCUUCAACGAGUUUUGAUUUUCAUCAUCUGGAUUCGCCAAAGAACGUUUCGCCUGACCUAAAAAUAAUGGCAAAUAUCCCAGAAGAGUCAACAUUCAGGAUACGGUCCUUGAGUUACGACAAAAGAAAGUUCGUCAUCUCAUACAUAAGUGACCGACGUCUCAUUUUUGUUAACGAGAAAGGAGAAAAAACCAGGAAGGUUCGGGUCAUGUCUAAUAUCAUGGAUGUUUGUGUUUCACCUCUUACCGGGUAUGCUUGGAUUUGUUGUGAAGACCACUCAGUAACGGAGAUCGAACAAAAGACGAGGGUGAUAAGAUUCAAAACCAAGUCUUUGCCUCUGUGUAUUUGUGCACAACAGAGUGGGGCUUUUCUUAUCGGCGUCACCAACGAUAUCAUUCAGUGUAAUGACACUGGGAAGGAACUCCUUCGUACCAAAUGGCUGGGUGGACGCUCAUCUGUGGUGUACCCUAGGGUCAUCCGGGAGAGUCCAUGCUCUAGGGAGAUAGCGGCGAGCUACGGGUAUGAGAUGGAACGGCCAUUGAAGGUCACGCUUUUUGACAGCGAACUCAAUAUAAAAUUCCAGUUCCCUACUGACCAAAUUCCACAAGAGGAUUUCGGUCCAGUGGAUAUUUGCUUCACUCCAGAUGGACAGCUUCUGAUAUUGGAUAAUGCAGCAAAUAAACUUGUGUGGUUAGGACGACAGGGCGCGGUUCUAAAGGAGACAAUCCUACACCAGUAUCACCCGUCGGUGAUGGCCCUUGGACCGGGCAAUCAACUCUGUUUGGUCCACCAAUCAAUGACAUCACAAAUAUUGACCACGGACAUUCCCCAGAGCGGACGAAAUGAAUAUACUUAUUGCAUGUUCUAAGAAUGGAUGAGAAAUGUAUUAGUACUGUGAUACAAUCAUACAUAAUUUGAACAAAAUAUACGAAUAACUGUUUACCAAAUGGUCCGAGUAGCAUAUACAUUGCGUAAUGUAACUUCACAGGUAGAAGAGGCCGUUAUGUUACAACAUAUUCACAGGUAGAAGAGGCCGUUAUGUUACUACAUGUUCACAGGUAGAAGAGGCCGUUAUGUAACUACAUAUUCACAGGUAGAAGAGGCCAUUUACUUACUACAUAUUCACAGGUAGAAGAGGCCGUUAUGUUACUACAUAUUCACAGGUAGAAAAGGCCGUUAUGUUACUACAUAUUCACAGGUAGAAGAGGCCGUUAUGUUACUACAUAUUCACAGGUAGAAGAGGCCGUUAUGUUACUACUUAUUCACAGGAAGAAGAGGACGUUAUGUUACUACAUAUUCACAGGUAGAAGAGGCCGUUAUGUUACUACAUAUGAAAAGAAGAGAGAGAGAGACAAUAAACUUUGUUAUAUAAUUUGGUAGUGGGUGAUUCUUAUUGUCAUAUUGUAGGCCAAUACGACAUAGUGAGGAAGAAGAUGAAUCUGUACUUUAUAUGUAAAAUACUUUGGGUUUUGGUCUAUAUAUCUAUAGACCAAUUUAUUAUCAGGCCAUUCCGCCGCAACUAGACGCGGGUAAGCCGGUGUUCUUCACUAGUUUAACGGAUGAUGUUUGGAACUUUGACAUGGUUUCUUCUUUUUAAUAGGAAGGUCGGACAUCUGUUUGGGGCUGAACCACACGUUCGUCACCUGAAGUUGUUGGCACUGUUUCUGUUCAGGUGCUGGUUGGCGUCUUCGGCAGAAAUAAAUAAAUAAAUAUUUUUUGCAACCUUCUGCAUAAUCCAAAUGAAAUGACGUAUUUGGGGUAAGCACAUGAACUUGAGGAUGUUAAUUUGUAGCGAAAACAGUCAGAUUGGUGAUUGCAAUGCCUGAUUUAGGUCGUUUAUCAGACAAAUAACCAGUGAAGCGUAUGUACAAAAAGGUGUAAGUCAUAUUUCAUAUAACAAGAAUUGAUGUUUUUCAAAACAAUUCUUCGUUCGUACAUAAAUAGUCGUGUUUCAUAACAAGUGAACCGUAUUUUACGUAACCCAUCGUAGUAUUUUCAUUACAAUAUCUCGUGUGUUUCACAUACUAUUAAAGUGGAAAAUGCCGCGAUUGAAAAUGUUAGUGUUGUGGUUCUUUAAACUGAUAGCGGGGUAGAAAUUUUCGCGUUAAAAAUAGUUCUGACAUCUAUAUACCCUAUAUAUCUAUAAUCUCUAUAACCAUCAAUUCAAUAUUCGCUUGUGGAUAUUGUCGCGCUAAUUGAGUCAACGUGAAGGACGCUAGAAAGUUCACACCGUGGAAAUUUCCACUUUUACAGUAAGUGUUUGCUAAUCACGUGCUCGUUAAUAUCGUUAAUGUCAAUAUUAUUAGGUAUU